RNAcentral lists this ribosomal RNA (253 nucleotides) under uncultured bacterium. RNAcentral describes it as "partial 16S ribosomal RNA". It matches the Rfam family "Bacterial small subunit ribosomal RNA", at positions 524 to 776 of the family's 1533-position model. The record is from RNAcentral.
AACAGAGGGGGCAAGCGUUGCUCGGAAUUACUGGGCGUAAAGGGCGCGUAGGCGGAAUGGCAAGUCGGUCGUGAAAUCCUUCGGCUCAACCGAAGAACGUCGAUCGAAACUGCCGUUCUUGAGGAUUGCAGAGGAGACUGGAAUUCCCGGUGUAGCGGUGAAAUGUGCAGAGAUAGGGAGGAACACCGGUGGCGAAGGCGGGUCUCUGGGCAAUUCCUGACGCUGAGGCGCGAAAGCGUGGGGAGCAAACGGG